UUGCGGGGCCAUAAAUCCUGUAGCUCAAGAACAAGAGAUAAGUCUGAGUGGCCAAGUUUCCGGGUAGGGUGCGGAACGGGGCACACGCCAGCUUUAGAAUUCCACAUCGCAGGAAUUUGGUUGGAGGCUGUAACCCCGAUCCUUGUCCAGUAGGUCUCUUCAGCCCAACAUUCUUUUGACCGGAAGUGGCUCUGCUAACCAUCUGUUUGAUAAUUCUCAUCAGGUGGGAUGGCAAAAAAGUGUUGCAGCUGAAGAAAGAAUUACCGUUCUAUAGUUUACAACUAUAGGGAAUUACCGCCAACGGAGCGAGCGGGAUUCUAGGUACUUCAAGAUAUUCUGAGUGGGACACGACGCUCUUGAAAAAAGCUUUGAGAUCGGUUCCGGAUUCCUUAAAUCAGAUAGAAAAAAACUCCAGCUGAAAUGGAGGAGGAAAGGGAACAGCUCUCAGUACGAGAAGGCGGGUACUGCUCAGGAAACUGGUGUAGCGCCACCACACUUUCCUGGGCGCGCGUCGGUCCCACCGGUGGCCGACCAAGUAGGGAUACUUGUAGCGCAUGUCGGGCGAAGAAGAUGGCUCCAUACGGGAUACAACAAAUGAUAAGUUAUAGACUUAAAUAAAAAAUUUCUAAAUUUUUUUAUUGGUUUUUCCCUUGCGCAAGCGCAAGGCAAGAAGGUACGUUACCCCUCUAUACCUCCCUCGGGGAGGGUUAUCAUAGGAACGUUACCCCUCCAUACCUCCUUCGGGGAGGCUUAUAUGAAAUUCCGGGCAAACAAGAGGGUAACAACACUAUAACUACCCUAGGAACGUUAGCCCUCCAUACCUCCCUCGGGGAGGCUUACCGGACAAUAAACUCAGUAGUUCUAAGUAGUUCUAUAAGAUACUAAUAUAGAGCUAUGAAGUUAACGUUCGGGUGCUAUUCUCCAAAAGCCCCUCACUCUUCAUCUUUUCACUCUAUCUGGGUGUCGCUAAGGACCCACCUCCCUCAUCCUUUAAAAAUACGGGAGGUGGGCUUCGCGCACCCUAUAAACUAUCCAGCAGUUACGCUCGGGGGCUAUAGCCAAUAGCCCCCUCACUGGUAGUUACUUUUUUGCUGCUAAUAAGGCAAGGCUUACCAGACACUUUCUCGAAACAACCUAGGGAGCUUUACAACCUCACGCUUGCAACCGUAGGCGGGAGAUAGAUAUAAGCCUAACUUAAAAUCCAAUAAAAAGUCUAUAACGUAUCCCGGUGGUGGAUCAAAGCUGAGCUUUGACCCUCGUAGCCAUUAGGGGGAGGGUGUUUUCUCGUGCAUACAUAUAUUUUGGUGCUAUACCAUAUAUGAAUUUCCCAAAGGGCUAUAGAAAGAAAAAGGAUGUCUUUUUCGGCUAUAGAUCUUCUCCAUUUCUAGGUUUCUAGAAAUGUUGUAAAGUGGUACUCAAAAUCACUGUUAGUGUGAUCUCAGAGCGGAGUAUCAAGAGUUAAGUCUGAAACCUCUGGCAUUCUUACUUGUAGUUCAGAGCUUAAGAGAACGCUCACGGGGUUAACUGUCCGUGGCGGAUCAAUCUACUUACGUGAAUCAAAGGCUACAUGUGAACCACUUAAACACCCUACGGAAGUUGGCCUUAUAAGUUGUUUAACGAGAUCUUCUUGUGACAACUAUUAUAGGAGAUGUAGGUGCGAUAUCUUCUCCUCACUACUAGACUAUUAUAGGAUAUAUAGAUGACGCGAGAAGGCAGUGGUCCCUAUGACCCAGAUUACGCGGAAUCUCGAUAGAGAUUGAAGUAGGGGAUUAUGGCCUUGCGGGGCCAUAAAUCCUGUAGCUCAAGAACAAGAGAUAAGUCUGAGUGGCCAAGUUUCCGGGUAGGGUGCGGAACGGCAUACAAGCCAGCUUUAGAAUUCCACAUUGCAGGAAUUUAGUUGGAGGCUGUAACCCCGAUCCUUGUCCAGUAGGUCUCUUCAGCCCAACAUUCUUUUGACCGGAAGUGGCUCUGCUAACCAUCUG
This 1982-nucleotide long non-coding RNA is filed under the name Gossypium raimondii (Peruvian cotton). RNAcentral describes it as "long non-coding RNA (GRAI_LNC003445)". The record is from RNAcentral. Lineage: Eukaryota; Viridiplantae; Streptophyta; Magnoliopsida; Malvales; Malvaceae.